This 72-nucleotide transfer RNA is filed under the name Parcubacteria group bacterium RIFOXYD2_FULL_52_8. Its description in RNAcentral is "tRNA-Arg". It matches the Rfam family "tRNA". From Rfam's summary of the family: Transfer RNA (tRNA) molecules are approximately 80 nucleotides in length. Their secondary structure includes four short double-helical elements and three loops (D, anti-codon, and T loops). The record is from RNAcentral.
GCACCCGUGGUGAAAUGGAUAUCACACCAGCCUUCGAAGCUGUUUUUGGGGGUUCGAAUCCCUCCGGGUGCA